ACGUCAAAUCAUCAUGCCCCUUAUGUUCUGGGCUACACACGUGCUACAAUGGCCGGUACAGACGGACGCAGAGCCGCGAGGUGGAGCAAAUCCUAAAAAGCCGGUCUCAGUUCGGAUUGCAGGCUGCAAUUCGCCUGCAUGAAGUCGGAAUCGCUAGUAAUCGCAGGUCAGCAUACUGCGGUGAAUACCGGUUCCCGGGCCUU
Molecule: ribosomal RNA, 203 nt
Filed under: uncultured Bacillus sp.
Lineage: Bacteria; Bacillati; Bacillota; Bacilli; Caryophanales; Bacillaceae
Description: partial 16S ribosomal RNA
Rfam family: Bacterial small subunit ribosomal RNA
Source: RNAcentral